UUGCUUCAGCAACACAUACAUGAAAACUGGAAUACAGAGACAAUUAGCAUGGCCCCUGCACAAGGAUCACAAGCAAAUUCAUGAAAAAAGGCUCAAUAAC
This is a small nuclear RNA of Loxodonta africana (African savanna elephant), 100 nucleotides long. The record is from Ensembl. NCBI's taxonomy places the organism in Eukaryota, Metazoa, Chordata, Mammalia, Proboscidea, Elephantidae.